UAGGGAAUCUUCGGCAAUGGACGGAAGUCUGACCGAGCAACGCCGCGUGAGUGAAGAAGGUUUUCGGAUCGUAAAGCUCUGUUGUUAGAGAAGAACGUUGGUAGGAGUGGAAAAUCUACCAAGUGACGGUAACUAACCAGAAAGGGACGGCUAACUACGUGCCAGCAGCCGCGGUAAUACGUAGGUCCCGAGCGUUGUCCGGAUUUAUUGGGCGUAAAGCGAGCGCAGGCGGUUCUUUAAGUCUGAAGUUAAAGGCAGUGGCUUAACCAUUGUACGCUUUGGAAACUGGAGGACUUGAGUGCAGAAGGGGAGCGUGGAAUUCCAUGUGUAGCGGUGAAAUGCGUAGAUAUAUGGAGGAACACCGGUGGCGAAAGCGGCUCUCUGGUCUGUAACUGACGAUGAGGCUCGAAAGCGUGGGGAGCAAACAGG
RNAcentral lists this ribosomal RNA (429 nucleotides) under Bacillota bacterium. RNAcentral's name for it is "Firmicutes bacterium partial 16S ribosomal RNA". It matches the Rfam family "Bacterial small subunit ribosomal RNA", at positions 355 to 776 of the family's 1533-position model. The record is from RNAcentral. Lineage: Bacteria; Bacillati; Bacillota.